GGAGAAACUUGAAAGUAAAAGCUACAAAUAUGACUAUUGAGUCUUUAGGCGUCCCCUUCGUUGUCCUCCUGCGGAACUGGCUCGGGAACAAGGUCUUCCUGAUCUGAAAUGAUUAAAUAAGGAAUGAGCUACACUACCCCAGUAAAGACAUCACGAUAUCUCACCGUCACGGAGGUAAAGGUGGGUAGAAAACACAAAAAGACCAAUGGAGCAUAAUUUACAACAAAACCUUUUAUCAAUAAUAAAACCUUUACCAUUCACUUACCUCGGUGAAAUUCAUAAGUCAAUAUACGAAAACAAUAACAUCAUCAUCAUCAUGAAAUCAUAUAUAAACUGUAUAACGUAAUACUUAUCAAGCCUUUCGAAAUUCAAUCGUUACACAAUAUAUUUUCCUCAUUUACCAGCCCACUAGUAUCCAUGGGGAUCCACAGGGGUCCCGCUACCCGUUAACCCUUAACACUUGAAAUUGUAUUCCAGGGCCGUCCCCAUACCCCGUCUGGUAUGGGCGCCAAAACUAUAAACCUCAUUACCCCGUCCGGUAUGAGGGUGAAACGGGCCGUCCCCAUACCCCGUCCGGUAUGGGCGCCAAAACACAUAAGAUCUCCAUACCCCGUCCGGUAUGGG
RNAcentral lists this long non-coding RNA (624 nucleotides) under Carica papaya (papaya). Its description in RNAcentral is "long non-coding RNA (CPAP_LNC011346)". Lineage: Eukaryota; Viridiplantae; Streptophyta; Magnoliopsida; Brassicales; Caricaceae. The record is from RNAcentral.